RNAcentral lists this unclassified non-coding RNA (795 nucleotides) under Hevea brasiliensis (rubber tree). Lineage: Eukaryota; Viridiplantae; Streptophyta; Magnoliopsida; Malpighiales; Euphorbiaceae. The record is from RNAcentral.
CACACCACAACUUAGUAAGUAGUAAGGUCUUAAGACCAACCUUAUCUAACAGUUGAUAUUCGCAUUACUUUACACACAGAUUGUGUCAUAGCUCAGUAUUCUAAUUCAGCAUUAGAAUGCAAAACAACACAAUGCUUUUUUACUACUCCAUCACACCAAGUCUCUCCAACAAAGACACAAUAUCCUAUAGUUAACAUUCCAUCGACCUUCAAGUCUGCCCAAUCUGCAUAUGAAAAACAUUCAAUAUUCGAAUGUCCAUAAUUACUAUACAAAAGACCAUGCCCUAGAGCUCCCUUCAAGUAACAAAAAAUUUGUUCCAAAGCUUCCCAAUAGGCAACAGUGGGAGAGGACAUAAAUUGACUUACUACACUAACGAAGUAUGCAAUAUUUGAAUGAGUCACUAUAAGAUAAUUUAACUUAUCAACCAAUCACCUAUACAUCUCAAGAUCUUGAAACACUUCACCAUCUCCCGCUAUAAGUUGAAGAUUAGGAGUCAUUGGGGUGCUCUUAUACCAUGUAAGUUUGAAUGGUGAAAUCUAUAUAUACUACAAUUGUGUAUUCUAAUUAGGAAUCUAAUGUCCUAUAAUUUUGCCAAAAAAAUAGAAACACAAUCCUAACUGAUUUAGGAAUAUAUAUGAAGACACUAUAUACAAUUGACCUUCCAAUCCAAAACAUAACAAAUACUAAUCCUAAUCCUACAACUAUGCCAUACAAAAUUUCACAGUUGCUUCAGAAUUUUCUCUAUCUCUAAAGCCACCAAAUGCUGUUGCUACUACAGCUUUGAAAUUACAAAAC